GACGGAGGGUGCAAGCGUUGUUCGGAUUGACUGGGCGUAAAGGGCGUGUAGGCGGUUGGUCAAGUCCGAUGUGAAAGCCCGGGGCUCAGCUUCGGAAGUGCAUCGGAAACUAGCCAGCUGGAGCGCGAUAGAGGAGGGCGGAAUUCCUGGUGUAGCGGUGAAAUGCGUAGAUAUCAGGAGGAACACCGGCGGCGAAGGCGGCCCUCUGGAUCGUUGCUAACGCUGAGACGCGAAAGCGUGGGGAGCAAACAGG
RNAcentral lists this ribosomal RNA (253 nucleotides) under uncultured bacterium. RNAcentral's name for it is "partial 16S ribosomal RNA". It matches the Rfam family "Bacterial small subunit ribosomal RNA", at positions 524 to 776 of the family's 1533-position model. The record is from RNAcentral.